CUGUAAUCCCAGCUACUUGGGAGGCUGAGGCGGAGAAUUGCUUGAACCCGAGAGGCAGAAGUUGCAGUGAGCCGAGAUCGUGCCACCGCACUCUAGCCUGGUGACAGAGUGAGACUCCAUCUCAAAAAAAAGAAAAAAAAGAAAAAUACUGAUGCCUGGGCUCCAGCACCCUGCAUGCCUAGUCUGGAUUUAAGUAGGAGUGAGGCGUGGGCGCCUCUAUGGAUCGAGGAAGCCUCCCAGGUGAUUCUAAUGUGUAGAAAUGUUGAGAUACAGUCCUUCAGCUACAUAGUGUUCAAAGCGUGGUGCGUAGAUCAGACAUGGACAAUCUCAAAGCACCCCAGCCUUGCUGAAUCAGCCCCUGCCUCUUAAGAUGCCUCUGAUGAUUCCUUUCACAAAGCUUGGGAAGCAGCUUUCUGUCGGCCCAGUGCCUAGCACUUGGAGACCACCUCUCCAUAGAGGGCUACCAGGAUCUCCUUCAGCACUGCGGAAGAGUGGGCCCCAGGGCAUGAUUAGGAGACCCCAGUCCUUUCAGAAUGGGUCAACAAUAGCAAGGGAGUGAAGCUCGAAGGACAAGUUCAGGCUUGGGGGAACUCAUGGUUCAGAAUGGCUCCCUUCCCUGGGUUGCUGCCUCUAGGCUGUUCUGGAACUGCAGUGAUUCAUUGUGCUUUUGAGUUUUGGGGCUUUCAUCUCACUAUUGCUGGAUAGUCUGUCAGAGUUAGAAGUGGAAUGAGUCGAGGCAGGCCAGGGGCCUCUCCCUUGCUGCUGGGAAGGGCCAGCACAUUCCUCGUUCCUAUGAUGAAGAUGCACGUGUAUACAAUAACCACCACAUUUCUUGGUACUCCACUUAAAACAUGUAAAUAACCCGAAACUGUUACUCCAAGUAUAAUGUGAAUACAGCUUGGCAAGGAAUUUAAUAUUUGCAAAACUAUAAAAUGUUUUGUAAUAUAAUUUCUUUAUAAAAGG
Molecule: long non-coding RNA, 963 nt
Filed under: Homo sapiens (human)
Lineage: Eukaryota; Metazoa; Chordata; Mammalia; Primates; Hominidae
Description: HSALNT0298977
Source: RNAcentral